CUGUCGGAUAUGCACAUAUAGUAGCGUCUCUCCAUUGAAUUACAGGCGGUUGACGUAACCAAACGAAUUUUCAAAAACAGAUUACAAUAACGAGAUCUAUCCAACAAUCUAAAGAAAGAAUGGGCGGGAGCUAGUGCGGUGCAACAACUCCAAGUGUUAGGGCGGAGAGACAUGUAAUCUUGUUAGUGUAUCCAUGAUCUUUGAUUCAAUCCAAAUUCAUUGCCUUUUAAAAGUUUAACCUGUAUUUAACUAGGAAAGUCAGUUAAGAACAAAUUAUUAUUUACAAUGACGGCUUACCCCGGCCAAAACCGGAAAACACUGGGCCGAUUGUGCGCCGCCGUAUGGGACUCCCAAUCACGGCCGGAUGUGAUACAUCCUGGAUUCGAACCAGAGACUGUCGUGACGCGAACUGAGAUGCAGUGCCUUCGACGGCUGUGCCACUUGGGAACCCGAUUAAGACAGACAACUGUUUAUUUCAGCAGAGAAGACGCAGCAAAGAUGCCCUAGUAGGGAGGAAACAAGGCAUUUCCAAGUAGGCUGCAUUUUUAAGGAGAGGAUCUUAUUUUCACCGCAGAUCUCCAUUUCACCAAGGACUGCACAACGACCUCAUGCUGGUGGCAGACUAGCAGAAUUCAGCCAUCGGCAGGAACGAGACAUUUGCAACAUGGUCAUAGCCAACAAUUCCAUCAGGCUAAGAGGGAUCCGAAAGUGUAAAUCACAAAUGACAACGAUAUCUUCGCAAAUAUCAAUUCUGUCAGCCUUUCACCUAUAGACAGAGUUUUGGGGGACAAAUGACUAUGAAACAGCUCUACAUGGUUUCAUUUGAGAGGAAUAGUAACAGAGUGAAGGAGCUGUGGUACCAGUAUGUCCAGGUAAACCAUUGGUGUGCACAUGGUAUAUUGUCCAGGGAGUUUUACUGUACUUCAAUGAUGUCUGUAUAUACUUUUUGUAGUUGUAGAUACCUAUAAGAACAGAAAACAUUUCUACUUUGCUAAACUAUCUGAUUCUAGAAUAGGCUAUGUAAAACAAACUUUAUAUUUUGUUUCUGUGUUACUAUUUAGAAAAUAAUAGAGCUGGAAGGACAUAAAAUUAUCCACAUUCUUGUUUUUGUGGACGAGGCUGGGUUCAGCCUGGCCAAAGGCAGGAGACGUGGCCGCAAUCUCAUUGACCGCGCGAGCCACAAUUGGCACACCAGGCCAACGUGGGGAGCAAUAUUACAAUGUGUGCUGCCAUUUCUGAGAAUGGUGUGAGCACACAUAUUCCACACAUUGGGCCCUAUAACACACAUCUUCCCCUGGCCUUCCUAAAUACACUUUACAGAGACCUAAUAACAGAACACGAAAGCGGUUUUGUUAGAGCAGAUUUGCCAAAUGAUGUAAUUGUGUGGGAUAAUGUCAGCUUCCACCGAAACAACAUUGUUAGUGAAUGGUUUGCUGCGCAUGAAAGGAUAAUAGUGGAGUUCCAUCCUCCCCAUUCCUGAAACCGAUAGAAGAGUUUUGUUCAGCAUGGAGGUGGAAAGUAUAUGACUAUCGGGCACAAGAUCAGAUGUCUCUGUUAGAUGCCAUGAAUGCUGCUUGUGGGGAGAUCACAGGCGAUCAUUGCAGUGAUCAUUGCAGGAUGUCCACCAAGAAGAUGAGAACUUCUUGUGUCACGUACUGUGAGGAGGUACAAUUUAUUGUUGUUUUAACAGAACUACCACAGGUUUUUUCUUUUUUGUAUUUCUUUAUUCUUUUUUGCAUGGAUGUCAUUUUGUGGCAAAUUUUCUGUUCACUAUAUAUGAUUUUACAUGUAAGAGAUAUGUAAAUAUGGACAUGCAAUUGUGAAUUUUCUGUAACACAUUGCUACAAAUGUGCUUAUCCUUUUUCUGUGUACUACAGUAUUGACUUUUUCCAGUAAACUUUUACCUACUGUUGAGAUCGGUAUCUAAAAAGCUCAGUGUGAUACACAAUAGCAUUCAGCUAGACAAAACUGGCAUUCUGGUAUAGUACAGUAAGCAGUCAGUGUCAACAAAAAAGUAGAACAAAACUUAAAUGUGUAUAUAACAAACAUUUCUCAAGUUGAUUUUCAAAAAGCAUCUAAACAUUUUGACCAGUACGGCUCACACGAUGACAAAAAAAAAAACGUUUCAUUUUGGUGGCUUUGGCCAAUUUACUGACUCAAUAACUAGGUUUUGAAGCAUGAAUUAAAUGUUUUAGGUGAGUUACUUGCAAUAGAGUUGGGACAAUGUAAUAGAGUUGGGACAAUGGCACCAACAGUUUAGAGAAACGUUAACUGUUUAAAAAAAACGAGUCAAAGCGAUUGAGAAACUGUAAAGUAGUCAAAAGUUAAGAAUUUUGUCCCACAUUCCAUGCACGCAAUGUCUAACUCUGCGCCGUUAUUUGCCUGUUUGUGGCCCACCUAUUAGCUUGCACGAUUCUUACCAUUCUCCUUCUACCUCCCAUCAAGAAGCUGUUUUUGCCCACAGGACUGCUGCUGUCUUGACGUUUUAUGUUUAUCGCACCAUUCUCUGUAAACCCUAGACACUGCCAUACGUGGAAAACCCAGGAGGGUGGCCGUUUCUGAGAUACGGGAACCGGCGCACCUGGCACCGAUGAUCAUACCACGCUCAAAGUCACUUAGGUCACUCGUUUCGCCACUUCUAACGUUCAAUCGAACAGUAACUGAAUGCCUCGUUGCCUGUCUGCCUGCUUUAUAUAGCAAGCCAUGGCCACGCAAGGUAAUGGGCUAGUGUACCUAAUAAACUUGCCACUGUGUGUAUAUAUUGCAUAUAAUAGCCACUGCUAGUAGCCAUGUAUUCAUCCAACAGUAAAUUAAAUGUCCUUUUCAUUUGAGGGCUACUAUCCAUGAGACCUAUAGGCCUAUACCCUCGUAAUGGCCUGCUCCAUAUCUAAAAGCCACAUCAAAUAUCUUGGUUGUAAAACAGUUGACAUUGAGCUGAAUAUUUAGAGGAGAAAAAAAUAUAUACCUACAGAAAGCUGAUACCCUCUUCUCCUCGGCAGUGACAAGAGGAGGAAGCUUCCAAAGCUUUGUUUUUCCCGCAAUUGCAUUUUAAAAGGAUAUACUAUCAGAACGCAAUGUAGAAUGUGCUCUUUCUACGUUCAUAGGCACCGUGAUACAUGAUCCCGCUGUCUAACUGAUUACAUAGUCAGAGCAGGUCUCUUUACGGAUGCCGCGUUAGACUUUGAAUGUGAGUGUGCGUGACCUCAGGCCAUGUCACCUAUUUCAGGCUUCAAACAUAAAGAUAUAAAACUGUAUUGUUUUGUGAAGAAUCAACAACAAGUGGGACACAAUCAUGAAGUGGAACGACAUUUAUUGGAUAUUUCAAACUUUUUUAACAAAUCAAAAACUGAAAAAUUGGGCGUGCAAAAUUAUUCAGCCCCCUUAAGUUAAUACUUUGUAGCGCCACCUUUUGCUGCGAUUACAGCUGUAAGUCGCUUGGGGUAUGUCUCUAUCAGUUUUGCACAUCGAGAGACUGAAACAACAACAGAGGCCAAACAACAGUCUAAACGGUCAAACAGAUUUGGAUGAAAAAAGGUGACAUUCUGUACGUAUGGAACGCUUGAUCUCAAAUCCAAAAUGCUGGAGUAUGCUUCACUGUCCAAUUGCGUGUAUGUAAUCAUACGGUGAAAGAAUUCUUUGGCCUCGCUCAUGGAGGCCGUACCAACCUCAGCGCAGCUAAUACUGGAACAAAGAUGUGUAAAGCAAAGGCAUAGGGUAAUACUUAGUUAUAAGUAUCUUUGACUUGAUGUCGUCUGAAGGUGAUUCCUCCUCCUCAGGACAAAUGUGCAAUCUGUUCUAUAGCCCGGAAUGUGAACUGUAUUUACACAAAAUGUGAUCAAAUAGUUUGCUAAAUGUGACAGGCUGAUCCUCGGCUGUGGUGAUCAGGCAUUGUGAGGAUUAAGAAUGUAAUAGCUAUGGAUGUAUCCCAAAUGGCACCCUAUUCCAGAUACUGUAGUUAGUGCACUACUUUUGACCAGUGCCCAUAUUGAGAACAGAGUGCCAUUUGGGAUGUACCCUAUCAGAGUUAAGAUGAAGGAUUGAGGGGGCAUCCCUCAGCUUAAUGAACAGUUGAAUCACUUGCAUUCUCCUGUUUCUUUAACUCGCAUUGUAGUUGUUGUUGUUUUUAUUUAUAUUUUUAAAAUUAUAUUUUCUAUUAUUAUCUAUACACUAUUUUUAUUGUUAUCACUGCAUUGUUGGAAAAGAGCUCUCAAGGUCAUUUCACUGUACUGUUUUGCACCUGUUCUAUCCUGUGGAUGUGGCGAAUAAACUUUGAAACUACUUGAAACUUAACUGACCCCCGCUGUGCAUCUUCUAAGUCUAACUUCUUAUGCCAUAGAAACUUCACAGCGCUACUAAUACUUCCUGAAGACCCCUGGAAUACACAGCAGCCUCUGAAGGAGGGGACCCGAGAACUCUUAACUAAGUGGCAAUAUUUGCUCACCUGACAUACACACAUCUGGCUGGCUGGUUAAAUGGCCUGCCUAGCCAGGAAGGCAGCUGGUUGCUACUGCUGAGGGCAGACAGACCGGUCAGUCGGGAAGGCCAAGGAGGUUUUGAGGAGGAGUGGUGUCUCCCCAGCCAGGCGGCUGUUUCUCACUCCAUGUUUGUCCGGAGCUGUUGGAGGCUGACGAGGUGCUAAUUUAAGACUCCGUCCCAAAUGGCACCCUUUCCCUAUGGCCCUGGUCCAAAGUAGUACACUAUAUAGGGAAUAGCGUGCCAUUUGGAACGCAAGGUGAGGAGUGUCCAUGCCAUUAGCCUACACUGUGGUUAGCCUGUCAGAGCCUGUAAAGAAACUGAUUUAUUAGGAUCUGGUAGGGCGUUCUCGGGUAGACAAACACAGAUUGGACACAUGUUGUUUGCCGGCAGGGAGCUUUGUCAUGGAGCCGAGAGUAACAUCUCCCUGAUUUUACUAAAGAAGACCCCACCCUGUUUCUCGGUAAACAGUACAAAUUGCAUCUUGCAAGUCAGAGGACCAAGGGAGGUAGCUAGAUAUCACUGGGGUAGAUGGAAGUGCCUUUGUGCUGUUCCCUUGUUUUUUUUUAAAUGAUCAAAGAAGAGCCAUCAGGCUGAUGGAAAAAACACAAAGCCAUCAGCAAAAAUACAUUUCUGAACAAAGGUUAACUGUAUGAAAAAUAAUCAACUAGUAUUAUUAUAGUAUUAGAAUGCAUAAACAGGCAUAUCUCAACGGUUGAAAUAAAACCAUGUACAUUUGAUUCAUAUACAGUACACCAAAAUACGAGAAAAAUGAUUAUCCUGCUGUAGACUAACAAUGUAUUUUGUAUCUAGCCUUAUAACAGGUGUAUUACAUUGCCUUCAGAAGGUAUUCACACCCAUUGACCUUUUCCACAUGUUGUUGUGUUACAGCCUGCAUUUUAAAUUGAAUAAAGUUGUCACGCCUUGGUCUUAGUAUUUUGUGUUUUAGUUAAUUAGUUGGUCAGGCCAGGGUGUGACAUGGGUUUAUUGUUUGUUGUAUUUAGUGGGGUUUUUUAGUUAUUGGGAUUGUAGCUGAUUAGGGGUGUGUGUUUCAUAGGUUUGGCUGCCUGAGGCGGUUCUCAAUCAGAGUCAGGUGAUUCUCGUUGUCUCUGAUUGGGAACCGUAUUUAGGUAGCCUGGGUUUCGCUUUGUAUUUCGUGGGUGAUUGUUCCUGUCUCUGUGUUAGUGUUCACCAGUCAGGCUGUAAUAGGUUUCACGUUCCGUUUUGUUGUUUUGUAUUUAUUCGUUAUUUCAUGUAUAGUUUCGUUAUUUGUUUUCACUAAUAAACAUGAGUAACAAA
Long non-coding RNA from Oncorhynchus masou masou (cherry salmon), 5772 nucleotides. RefSeq lists it as uncharacterized. The transcript is spliced from 3 exons. The record is from RefSeq and is a predicted model, not a curated record. NCBI's taxonomy places the organism in Eukaryota, Metazoa, Chordata, Actinopteri, Salmoniformes, Salmonidae.